This 477-nucleotide ribosomal RNA is filed under the name uncultured anaerobic ammonium-oxidizing bacterium. RNAcentral's name for it is "bacterial SSU rRNA". It matches the Rfam family "Bacterial small subunit ribosomal RNA", at positions 365 to 832 of the family's 1533-position model. The record is from RNAcentral.
UUCGCAAUGCCCGAAAGGGUGACGAAGCGACGCCGCGUGCGGGAAGAAGGCCUUCGGGUUGCAAACCGCUGUCGGGAGUUAAGAAAUGUAAGGAUGUUAAUAGCAUCUUUGCUUGACUAAGGCUCCAGAGGUAGCCACGGCUAACUCUGUGCCAGCAGCCGCGGUAAUACAGAGGCGGCAAGCGUUGUUCGGAAUUAUUGGGCGUAAAGAGCACGUAGGUGGGUUUAUAAGUCAGAUGUGAAAGCCUUCUGUUCAACGGGAGAAUUGCAUCUGAAACUGUAAGUCUUGAGUAUAGGAGGGGAGAAUGGAACUUCUGGUGGAGCGGUGAAAUGCGUAGAUAUCAGAAGGAACGCCGGCGGCGAAAGCGAUUCUCUGGCCUAUUACUGACACUCAGUGUGCGAAAGCUAGGGGAGCAAACGGGAUUAGAUACCCCGGUAGUCCUAGCUGUAAACGGUGGGCACUAAGUAGAGGGGUUUU